GGGGUUGACUGGUUUUGACAGCGUGUAGAGGUGGUGUGUAAGCAUGCAGAGCCAUGAUGCCUGUGCUCUUUAAACUUGGACAUCGCAGUUUUAAAUGGCGAAAAUAACUACGCUCUUGCUGCUUGAUUGAAGUACAGUAGAUCAGCUUAAUCUCCGCAAAAGUUGCGGAGACAAGACAUCGCCCGAUUGUCCUUUUUCCGAGACUAAUCGACAAGGCGGUGCAGGUAAAUCGGGAAUAGGAAGCGGAUUGUCUCGUGAGGCUUCCGAAAAAUUAGAGAAUAAGGUGUCGGUUGGCAGUUUCCGGCCUGCCGGCGCACGAAAACCAAGUGGAAACUAAGCAUGUAGAAAGCAUAUUAACUCCACGUUUGGACGAGGGUUCGACUCCCUCCAGCUCCACU
This 398-nucleotide transfer-messenger RNA is filed under the name uncultured Paramuribaculum sp. It matches the Rfam family "transfer-messenger RNA". From Rfam's summary of the family: Bacterial tmRNA, also known as 10Sa RNA or SsrA, is named for its dual tRNA and mRNA-like properties. Its role is to liberate the mRNA from a stalled ribosome. The record is from RNAcentral. Lineage: Bacteria; Pseudomonadati; Bacteroidota; Bacteroidia; Bacteroidales; Muribaculaceae.